GCCAGACUCCUACGGGAGGCAGCAGUGGGGAAUAUUGCACAAUGGGGGAAACCCUGAUGCAGCGACGCCGCGUGAGCGAUGAAGUAUUUCGGUAUGUAAAGCUCUAUCAGUAGGGAAGAAAAUGACGGUACCUGACUAAGAAGCCCCGGCUAACUACGUGCCAGCAGCCGCGGUAAUACGUAGGGGGCAAGCGUUAUCCGGAUUUACUGGGUGUAAAGGGAGCGUAGACGGCGGUGCAAGCCAGAUGUGAAAGCCCGGGGCUCAACCCCGGGACUGCUCUGGAAACUGUAAAGCUGGAGUGCGGGAGGGGCAGGCGGAAUUCCUGGUGUAGCGGUGAAAUGCGUAGAUAUCAGGAGGAACACCGGCGGCGAAGGCGGCUUACUGGACUGUAACUGACGUUGAGGCUCGAAAGCGUGGGGAGCAAACAGGAUUAGAUACCCGCGUAGGA
RNAcentral lists this ribosomal RNA (448 nucleotides) under uncultured bacterium. RNAcentral describes it as "partial 16S ribosomal RNA". It matches the Rfam family "Bacterial small subunit ribosomal RNA", at positions 330 to 795 of the family's 1533-position model. The record is from RNAcentral.